UUUAUUGGGUAGGGCAUAUGAGUGACAGAGAGAGACAGAGAUGGAAGAAGAGGGAAAAGUAAAAUUGGACCGAUGGGGAUAUCCAGUCAAGACCUCCUCCUACCCUUGCAUUUCUGCUAUCAAUGCCUACUACCACCAGGUUUCUUCUUCUUCUCCUUCUUUUUGAGAUUCUCUGUAGACUAAACACUGAGUCCUUUUUCUUGAACCAUCGAAAGUGAUGAGUUAUGGAAGAGAGAGGUUUAUAAUUCUCAAAGCACCGCAUCAUGACCUUAUGAAAAGUAAAAAUGGGCCAUUUAGCCGCAUGUUGCCGCUAAACCCUAGCAAUGCCAUCUUCUGUUGCUCAAAACCCUCAUUCCUCUCAUUCCAUUCCCCUCCUCUCAUCAUUCGCCGCCACGCCACCGACCUCCUGUCUCACCCAUCAUUUCCCGGGUGAUUUCAACUUCCUGCGCCCGCUGAUGUCUCCAGCGGCAUCUGGGUCGGCCAGGACUCAGACUCCUCCACCGUCGACAGCUCCUUCAGGCGAAGCAGUGCAAACGGAAAUGUGAAGGUAAAUUCGAAGGAAAAACGAUGGUCCCGCGACUGAGAGCUAUUUGCCCAGCGACAGUGAUGCUCUUCCACUUCCUAUGAUGUUUCCUGAUUCAUCUCCGGUAUCACAGAACGAAAUCAAUCGUCGGCUUCGUUGCGACCCAAAAGCUGAGGACUGUAACGAAAUGGUUUAUGAAUGGACUGAAAAGUUUCAGAGUUACCAAGGAUUAGGAUUUGUUAGUUAGUACAAUAAAAAGGGGAAGAAAGUGUCUGCAAAUGCAUACCAUGUCUAGGAAAUGGUACUUUUCUUUUUCAAGGCAUUGAUGCUUAUGCAACUUGAGUUGUUAACUUGGUUUAGGUUGCAUGAAGAUAUAGAGAUGCUUGUGCCUGUGCAGAGAAGCACACACUUUGUCUACAUAUUUUUUGACCUUAUAGUUUACGCUCGAUUUUGAUAAUGAUAGAUACUUAGGUAUUUGAUGGUUUUUAAGUGUAUGUGUAGGCUUAUAUGAGCAUUUCAAGGAAUGACAUUUGAAGCAAGAUAUAAAACCCUGAGGAUUCUCUUUCAUAUUGUAAAUUCUAUUAAUGUAAUAUGAGUCUGUAAUAGUAACUAGGCAUAUGGUCUGUAAUAAUUUCUCACAUAUCAUGCAUAUAAGAUAUAUUGUAAGCUCAGUAAGACCUUAAUAUGA
Long non-coding RNA from Malania oleifera, 1211 nucleotides. RefSeq lists it as uncharacterized. The record is from RefSeq and is a predicted model, not a curated record. NCBI's taxonomy places the organism in Eukaryota, Viridiplantae, Streptophyta, Magnoliopsida, Santalales, Ximeniaceae. The transcript is spliced from 2 exons.